RNAcentral lists this ribosomal RNA (439 nucleotides) under uncultured bacterium. RNAcentral describes it as "partial 16S ribosomal RNA". It matches the Rfam family "Bacterial small subunit ribosomal RNA", at positions 338 to 795 of the family's 1533-position model. The record is from RNAcentral.
CCUACGGGAGGCAGCAGUGGGGAAUAUUGCACAAUGGGCGAAAGCCUGAUGCAGCAACGCCGCGUGAGCGAUGAAGGCCUUCGGGUUGUAAACCUCUGUCUUCAAGGAAGAUAAUGACGCUACUUGAGGAGGAAGCCCCGGCUAACUACGUGCCAGCAGCCGCGGUAAUACGAAGGGGGCUAGCGUUGUCCGGAAUUACUGGGCGUAAAGGGUGCGUAGGUGGUUUCUAAAGUCAGAGGUGAAAGGCUGUGGCUCAACCGUAGUAAGCAUUUGAAACUGGGGAACUUGAGUUCAGGAGAGGAGAGUGGAAUUCCUGGUGUAGCGGUGAAAUGCGUAGAUAUUAGGAGGAACACCAGUUGCGAAGGCGGCUCUCUGGACUGUAACUGACGCUGAGGCAUGAAAGCGUGGGGAGCAAACAGGAUUAGAUACCCUUGUAGUC